RNAcentral lists this ribosomal RNA (697 nucleotides) under uncultured soil bacterium. Its description in RNAcentral is "bacterial SSU rRNA". It matches the Rfam family "Bacterial small subunit ribosomal RNA", at positions 30 to 771 of the family's 1533-position model. The record is from RNAcentral.
CGAACGCUGGCGGCAGGCUUAACACAUGCAAGUCGAACGCUCGUAGCAAUACGAGAGUGGCAGACGGGAGAGUAACACGUGGGAACGUGCCCUUUAGUUCGGAACAACCCAGGGAAACUUGGGCUAAUACCGGAUACGUCCGAAAGGAGAAAGAUUUAUCGCUGAAGGAUCGGCCCGCGUCUGAUUAGCUAGUUGGUGGGGUAAUGGCUCACCAAGGCGACGAUCAGUAGCUGGUCUGAGAGGAUGAUCAGCCUCAUUGGGACUGAGACACGGCCCAAACUCCUACGGGGGGCAGCAGUGGGGAAUCUUGGACAAUGGGCGCAAGCCUGAUCCAGCCAUGCCGCGUGGGUGAUGAAGGCCCUAGGGUUGUAAAGCCCUUUCGGCGGGGAAGAUAAUGACGGUACCCGCAGAAGAAGCCCCGGCUAACUUCGUGCCAGCAGCCGCGGUAAUACGAAGGGGGCUAGCGUUGCUCGGAAUCACUGGGCGUAAAGCGCACGUAGGCGGCUUUUUAAGUCAGGGGUGAAAUCCUGGAGCUCAACUCCAGAACUGCCUUUGAUACUGAGAAGCUUGAGUUCGGGAGAGGUGAGUGGAACUGCGAGUGUAGAGGUGAAAUUCGUAGAUAUUCGCAAGAACACCAGUGGCGAAGGCGGCUCACUGGCCCGAUACUGACGCUGAGGUGCGAAAGCGUGGGGAGCAA